RNAcentral lists this long non-coding RNA (224 nucleotides) under Lathyrus oleraceus (garden pea). Its description in RNAcentral is "Pisum sativum (pea) long non-coding RNA (PSAT_LNC010249)". Lineage: Eukaryota; Viridiplantae; Streptophyta; Magnoliopsida; Fabales; Fabaceae. The record is from RNAcentral.
GAUUGUCCAAGAUUCGAUGGACCCUAAUAAGGAAGUCGUGGAUUGGAAGAUAGUUGUUAUUGAGGAGAUAUCUUUGUUGUUUUUGUCGUGAAUGUUUAUAAUUUGAUGUCAUUUUAUGACACCUGUAAUAUAUUUAUACUGAACAAGUUAUGGCUUUUGUGAUAAUUUAUCCAUCAUAUUUAUUAAGCGUUUUGACCUGAUUCUUUAUUUUGUCUUGUGUGAUU